CACCGCGGUUAUACAAGAAACUCAAAUUAACAGAAAAUCGGCGUAAAAUGUGACUAAAAUUAUAAUCUAAAAAAUUAAGGUAAACCCUUCACUCAACUGUCAUACGUAAAAGUACACAUUACCCCAAUAUGAAAGUAACCUUAAUGCAAAAUAGAAUUAUUUGAACCCACGAUCGCUAAGAGA
RNAcentral lists this ribosomal RNA (183 nucleotides) under Mauremys japonica (Japanese pond turtle). RNAcentral's name for it is "partial 12S rRNA". The record is from RNAcentral. Lineage: Eukaryota; Metazoa; Chordata; Testudines; Geoemydidae.